This is a long non-coding RNA of Acanthochromis polyacanthus (spiny chromis), 1168 nucleotides long. RefSeq lists it as uncharacterized. The record is from RefSeq and is a predicted model, not a curated record. Lineage: Eukaryota; Metazoa; Chordata; Actinopteri; Pomacentridae. The transcript has 2 exons.
CUCUGGUCAGACUGAAUCAGAGCCGAGGACUCUUUGUCCCGCCCACAUUUAUCGGCUUCUGCUGUUUAUGGACGCUGCUACCGCUGCUGCUAACAACGUUAGCUUCCAAAAGUGGAGAUAAACUCUACAGCCUUGGUCUGGAUCAUUUGGAACAUCUAGUCUGAUGGGCUGAAAGCUACAGAGAACAUGAACAUCCAGCUGUGGUUGUCUGAACAGUCUUCUCUCCAUCACUGUGAGGAAGAGCAGCACUGAUGUUCUCCUCAUCCUUCCAAUAAUGCUGCAGAUUCAGCUCCUCUCUUCAGAAUACAACUUGUCUUGUGACUGUUCAGUUUUUACACUUCACUGUCAGCAACACAUUAUUUCAUCCAUUUAUUAUGUGUUUACACAUCUUUACAGUUCAUAAUUGUUAAAUAAUGCAGUUUUUAAAUGUGCAAUGAAGGAAAUAAUGAAGCUAUUGACCUGAAUGUGUUGAUGUUUUAAUGCUACAUAUCUGUUACAAAUAACAUGGACUUUUUAUAUUGUACAGGGUUUCUGCAGAUAUCAAUCAGUCAAAUUUAAUGCUUUUUAAUGCAAUUUUAUUGCUAUACUGUAAAAAUUUUAAUGCCACGACCAUGAACUCAAAUUACACGGGUUUGUUUGUUUUUUUGUAAAAGAUGAUUUUUAUAUGAAAACCCUACAUUUGACUAUUUCUGAAUCUGGGAACCACCCCUGAACACCAACGGGCUGCAGUCAUUCUCUGAAAUGCACGUUUUUGAGCCAUUUUUGCUGGAAUUUGUGUUUCCCCAUUUCCCAGCCUGGUCCAGCCUGCCGGCCACUUUAAAAACAUGCAGUUUUUAGAAAUUGUACCCAACCGGCUGGAACAAUUAUCUCAAUGCUUCGGCAUGUUUACGCAGAUGCACAUAUCUGACAAAUCGCAGUCUAUAAAUAUAUAUUAUUGUCAAUAAUUUCCUUGAAAACUGCAGAAAGAAAUUUUAAUGCCACCAUGAAUCAAAUUUAAUGAUUUUUAAUGCCAUUUAAGGCCUUAAUUUUUGCAAAAUCAAAUUAAUGACUAUUAAUGUCCUGCAGAAACCCUGUUGUAUUUCUGCUACAGCAGCAGAGAUGAAGUUAAAGGUGAUAAAUAGAAUCUGUGAAUACUAAGAACAGAGAAUAAUAAACUGCUGAAAGAGUU